AUUGGUCAUGCUCAUGAGCAGUAUAUAUGCACUUGGUUGGUUCGUUGUUGGCAGUUUAGCUACACAAACUGACUGACAUUGCACAAUAAAAUGUAGCAGAUUUGCUAGCAAUCCUUCUUUCUCUCGUAUAGAAGUACAUGCUAUCUAACGUGAGCAAAAUCAUUGCGUAACUACAGGUACAUCAUAUGACUAAUUUACACAGAAUACUGAUACUCGACCCCAUGCAUUCAGUUUCAGAACUUGAAACUAAUUAACCUGUGGAAACUAACCUGACUAGUAGCUUCUCUGGCUUCCAGUUUACAACUUCUAGGAUAUCAAUCAUUCAUUCUCAAGUUGCUGCUGGCAGCUACAAGUCGCCUUUUUCUGGAAUUUUCAUGUUCUUUUUUUGUGUGUAUAUGCCUUCCUCUUCGAUUUCGAGAUUGUGAUUGAGGUCAAUUGAUGGUGGUGGUUGUGCGAUGCAGAUGUUCGGGAUGGUGGAGAAGGAGAUGGAGUACCGGGUCGAGCUUUUCAACCGGCAAAUUUGGGGCUGAGGAAAGAAGACGAGGAGCAACUUCUCUCUGGUCUGGUCGUUGGAACUUCAGGACAAGGUGAAGGUUUUCAAAUGUUGAAGGAGGAGGACAAUAGGAACUUCUGUGAUGUCUUGUCAUCUAUUUUCUUUUCUUUGUUGUAGAAUAGUUCUGUUUGGCACUUACUGGUUGGAUGUAAAGAUAUGUACUGCUAGAAUGAAUGCAUGUAAAGAUAUUUUGGGCUCCUAUAAUAUUUCAUGUUGCUUUGAAAAUGUAUCGGAACUGGGCUAGGCCCAAGAUAACUUGUAGUGUGAUGUGUUGUAAUGUCAAUGGCAUAAUAAAAGAAGUUGGAUUGGAUCAAUUAUUUCGGCCCA
Molecule: long non-coding RNA, 880 nt
Organism: Triticum aestivum (bread wheat)
Lineage: Eukaryota; Viridiplantae; Streptophyta; Magnoliopsida; Poales; Poaceae
Exons: 3
Source: RefSeq, a predicted model, not a curated record